RNAcentral lists this ribosomal RNA (496 nucleotides) under uncultured bacterium. RNAcentral's name for it is "partial 16S ribosomal RNA". It matches the Rfam family "Bacterial small subunit ribosomal RNA", at positions 28 to 506 of the family's 1533-position model. The record is from RNAcentral.
GAUGAACGCUGGCGGCGUGCCUAAUACAUGCAAGUCGAGCGAACAGACGAGGAGCUUGCUCCUCUGACGUUAGCGGCGGACGGGUGAGUAACACGUGGAUAACCUACCUAUAAGACUGGGAUAACUUCGGGAAACCGGAGCUAAUACCGGAUAAUAUAUUGAACCGCAUGGUUCAAUAGUGAAAGACGGUUUUGCUGUCACUUAUAGAUGGAUCCGCGCCGCAUUAGCUAGUUGGUAAGGUAACGGCUUACCAAGGCAACGAUGCGUAGCCGACCUGAGAGGGGGAUCGGCCACACUGGAACUGAGACACGGUCCAGACUCCUACGGGAGGCAGCAGUAGGGAAUCUUCCGCAAUGGGCGAAAGCCUGACGGAGCAACGCCGCGUGAGUGAUGAAGGUCUUCGGAUCGUAAAACUCUGUUAUUAGGGAAGAACAAAUGUGUAAGUAACGAUGCACGUCUUGACGGUACCUAAUCAGAAAGCCACGGCUAACUACGU